Molecule: transfer RNA, 72 nt
Filed under: Marmota monax (woodchuck)
Lineage: Eukaryota; Metazoa; Chordata; Mammalia; Rodentia; Sciuridae
Also listed under: 1 other name
Rfam family: tRNA
About the family: Transfer RNA (tRNA) molecules are approximately 80 nucleotides in length.
Source: Rfam by way of RNAcentral
GGGGGUGUGGCUCAGCAGUACAGCGCCUGCCUAGCAUAUAUGAGGUCCUGGGUUCAAGCCCCAGCGCCACUA